This is a long non-coding RNA of Phasianus colchicus (ring-necked pheasant), 491 nucleotides long. RefSeq lists it as uncharacterized. NCBI's taxonomy places the organism in Eukaryota, Metazoa, Chordata, Aves, Galliformes, Phasianidae. The record is from RefSeq and is a predicted model, not a curated record.
ACCAAAGGGGCGUGGCUAAGAAGUGGGCGGGGCUAAGAAGUGGGCGGGGCUAUGGUGUAUGGGUGCGUGGCUAUGAAGUGGGCACAGUUAUGCCGUAUAGGGGCGGGGAGAGCUAAGGGGAAGAAGGUUCGAGGAAGGAGGCUCGGUGUCAUGGGAGACCGUACACCUGAUUCGAGCACUCGAGUGCAAUCUCAGCUUGAGAGCGCUGGCAAAAGAAGAAGGAGCAGCAGCACGAGCCUCCCGCACAUCUCAGAAAUGCCCUCAAAUGUCAAAGUUUGAUCCUUCUUUCAUGGAAGAGGCUGAAGUCUUGCUGGGAAUGAGCUGCUUGGCUCUGGGAAAGCUCUCACUGGGUCAGGAGCGACUACCAAGGGCUGAAAAUGUAGAAUAGAAACUACAUCUGGAAUUGCAGAUUUGAUGGUGCCCAGAAACACCACAGUGGGACUGUUCCACUCUCAACAUUAAAGGCUCGAAGACCAGAAGCAACUUGAAAG